AGCGAACGCUGGCGGCAGGCUUAACACAUGCAAGUCGAGCGGGCGUAGCAAUACGUCAGCGGCAGACGGGUGAGUAACGCGUGGGAACAUACCUCUUGGUUCGGAACAACACAGGGAAACUUGUGCUAAUACCGGAUAAGCCCUUACGGGGAAAGAUUUAUCGCCGAGAGAUUGGCCCGCGUCUGAUUAGCUAGUUGGUGAGGUAACGGCCCACCAAGGCGACGAUCAGUAGCUGGUCUGAGAGGAUGAUCAGCCACAUUGGGACGUGAGACACGGCCCAAACCUACCUACGGGAGGCAGCAGUGGGGAAGUAUUGGACAAUGGGCGG
This 328-nucleotide ribosomal RNA is filed under the name uncultured bacterium. RNAcentral's name for it is "bacterial SSU rRNA". It matches the Rfam family "Bacterial small subunit ribosomal RNA", at positions 29 to 378 of the family's 1533-position model. The record is from RNAcentral.